Molecule: long non-coding RNA, 5111 nt
Filed under: Canis lupus familiaris (dog)
Lineage: Eukaryota; Metazoa; Chordata; Mammalia; Carnivora; Canidae
Description: lncRNA (ENSCAFG00000056795.1)
Source: RNAcentral
GAGGAGAUAUAACUAAGUCUGUGACACAGAGUUGGUGGAAGAUGCCAAAGUAUCCAUGCUAACUAAAUAUCUGGUUCAGUUUUACAGUGGUUUUAUUAAAGCCUCUUGUGUCAGUCCCUGUGCAUUCCAUUGGAGGGCUUGAUCCUCAAGGUGCAUAAGGUUUAGAACCCAGACUUGGAAACCCAAAUACAGCCUACUGGGAUAAAUAUUAUGUUACAAAUAAAUAUGGAGUACUAUGGAAGUAUGAAAAAAGGAGACUGAAGCCAGUCUGAGGAGCAGAAAAGACUUUUAGAAAGUCUGAGUUGAAUAUUGAAGGGCAUUUACUAGGCAAAGGAAGGCAGAAAGAAGUAUUGGAAUAGAGCAUUCCAAGCAAAAAGAAUAGCAUAAGCAAAAGUAGAAAGUUGAAGAAGCCUGGUGUGUGGCUGGAAGUACAAGCUUUUGAGUUGGCUAGUGUAAAGCCUAGAGUAAGGUGGCAAGUGUUGAGGAAGGAGCUAAAGAGGUGGCAGGGAUCUGAUUGUGGAUGUUUUCUCUGGUGACCCUUGGGGGUGGGAGAGACAGAAAGAAGCAAGUUACUGUGGAGGCCAGUGUGAAAGGUGUUGCAAGAUUCCAGUUAAUAUGCAAUGAGGUUUAAACCAGGGCAGUGGCUAUGAAGAUACCAGAGAUAUUAACCCACAUUUCUUUUUUCCCCUUUUACUAUGAACAUUUGCAAACAUUCAGAAGUCAUUUUCCAUGAACACCCAUAUAUAUCCACCAUCUAGAUUUUACAAUUAGCAUGUUACCACACUUGCUUUGUCACACAUAUCUAUUCAUCCCUCUAUCCAUCAACCCAUUUUAUUUUUUAUGUGCUUCAAAUUAGACAUUUGUAUAUGUCCCCUGAAACUAGUUAACUAGAGUUUAACAUACAGUUGUGAUUCUUUUUUAGCUAAAAUUUCCAAAUAAUGGAAUGUGCAUAUCCUAAAAAUAUAGUUUUAUAUGUUUUGAUAAAUGUACAAACCUGUGUAACCUACACCCCUAUCAAGAUACAAAACAUCCUUGAUAGAGAGAGUUCCCAGGUGUUCCUUCCCAGUCAAUCACAGCCCUUCCCCUUCCAGAAUAGGCCUGGAGUUUAAAAGUGUAGGAUUUGAAAUGUGUGAAAAUAGAAAGAUGACCCAGGUGGAGAAAGCUUGAGUGGCUCUCUCUCCAAUGAAGUCAUGAAGGCAGGUAACCAUAAAAGAUACACAAGCAUUAGUAAACAAGCUUGAAUGGAUGCCUUUCAGCUUCCUCCCAUCCCCCUACAGAGGCUCAUCUUUAUAGGUCAGUGCAUGAAACAGUGAAACAAAGAACAGUGGAGUCAAGGGAAUGCCCCAUCGUCAGGAGUUUACAACUUGCAGGGGGAGACAAACACUGAUAGUCACAGUUAAGUGUAAGAAAUGUUGAAUGUUGCAUUGCACCAGGGUCAGUACUAUAACAGAAAAGAAUGGAAAAUGAGGUAAAAUACAAGUGCCCUAAGGGUUUGUGGUGUGUGUGUAUAUGUAUGUAGACGAGAGGGGAUCAGGGAACAGGGAGAGAGAAGGUGAAUGAUUCAGACUCUUGGGACUGGAGGAGCUCAAAGGAAAAAGGGAAAAAGAACACUUAAGCAGCCAUGAAAAAUUUCCUGGACGUGAGAGGAGUCAACUCUUGAAGAUUGUUUACUUUGAUACUAAGUGUGGUAGACAUAAAAAUGUUUUAAGUUACAAAUAACAGAAAACCCAAGUCAAGCAUGGAACAUUAACUCAUAAUUGCAAAGUCUAGAAGUAUGUGGAUUUUUGGCACAGUUUUAAUCAGAGCUUUGGUUCUGAUUAUCUCAGUUCUGCCCUCCUGUGUGCUAGCUUUGUCUUCAGAUACUUCUUCAUGAUUACAAGAUGGCUGAACACAGCACAAUGCUUCCACUUGUUCUUAUUUGCCAUCUAUACAUCCUCUUUGGUUGAAAGUGCCUGUUCAAGUUUUUUGAUAUUUUUAUUUAUUUAUUUUUAUUUAUUUAUUUUUAAGUUUUUUGAUAUUUUUAAUUGGCCUAUGUGUUUUCUUACAAUUGAGCUUUGAGAACUUUUUAUGUAUUUAGGAUAUAAGUUAUUUAUUGAAUAUAUGAUUUGCAAAUAUUUUCUCCCAGUCUAUAGCUUGUCCUUUUAUUCCCUUAUCAGUAUCUUAUACAGCAACCCUUUUUAAUUUUGACAAAUUCUAACUUAACAAUUUUAUUUAUUUUAUGAAUUUUCAUGCUUAAAAGUUCUUCGUUUAACCUUCAGUAAUGAAAUUUUUCUAUGUCUUAAAGUUUUAUAGUUUUAUGUUGUAUAUUUAUAACCCAUUUUAAGAUAAUUUUUGUAUACUGUAAAACGUUUAAGUCAAGGUUCUUUUUUGACCUAUGAAAUCUCCAGUUAUAUCAACAGCACAUGUUGAGAAAAUUGUCCUUUCUCUAUUGUAUUCCCUUUGCCCCUUUGUCAAAAAUCAGAUAGCUGUACUUGUAUGUGUCUAUUUCUGGAGUCUCUAUUCUAUUACAUUGAUCAUAUGUUUUUUUUUAAGAUUUAUUUUUAUUUAUUUAUGAUAGACAUAGAGAGAGAGAGAGGCAGAGACACAGGCAGAGGAAGAAGCAGGCUCCAUUCCGGGAGCUUGAUGCGGAACUCGAUCCCGAGACUCCAGGAUCGUGCCCUGGGCCAAAGGCAGCCGCGAAACCGCUGACCCACCCAGGGAUCCCCUGAUCAUAUGUUUCUAUCCUUCUACCAGUACAUUAAUGUUUUCAUUACUGUAGCUAUAUGGUACAAUAUCAAGUUGAGUGAUUCCCCCCAUUCUAUUUUUCUUUAUCAAGAUUGUUUAGCUAUCCCAGAGCCUGUGUCUUUUCAUAUAGAUUUUAGAAUAGGCUUUUCUGUGCCUACAGAUAUCUUGCUGGUAUUUUGAAAGGAAUUGCUUAAAUAUACAGAUUUUUAUUUGUAGAGAAGUGACAUAUUGCAGGUUUUUAAAUACUCGUACAUUUUUAUAUAAUUUUUAAUUGAAGUAUAAUAUGCAUACAGAGGAGGGCACAAACUCUAACGGCACAGAUUGAGGAAUUGUUAUGAACUGAACACAUCUGUGUAAUCAUUACCUAGUUCAAGAAAUAUAAUGAGUAGCACCUAGGAGAUUGAGUCUUAACACAAAAAACAUAGGAGAUAAGCUCAUAGACUCACUUGAGAUGAAGUAUUUAAAGAUUUAUACCCUCAGGAAAAGGUAUAUUUUCCAAAAUACACUUCCCACUGGCAUAUGGACACAAUGAAGCAGCUUGUCUGUCUUGGCCUGGGCUUUUGAAAGGGGACAAAUUUUUGCCUAUAUAAGUUCUUAAUCAUGUAGUGGAGCUUCACAUGGGUUUGUAAUUCAAGCCUGUACUGCUCAUGUGUUUCCAGAACCCACAACUUGUGAAAUGAACGAAAAAUUAGUCUCGCUGGGGCAGCUGGCAAAAGCAAACACCAAACCUCUCAGUAUGAAACGUCUGUAAGCCAGGUUAAACAAGAAUUUCAUAAAUACAACCCAGUUGAACAUAAAUUAAUUCACAAUAAGCAAGAGAAAACACAACAAACAAUAGGAUUAAACCUCCAUGAACUUCAGAUAAUAGAAGGAUCUAAGAGUUAAUAAAGUAGGUAUGUUAAAAUUGAUUAUGAAUAUAAAAGAAAAACCAUAAAAGAACAAAACACUGUUUUUAAAAAACCAGCAAAUUUGAAAUAAAAAGAACCAACAGAUUUCUAGAAAUGAAAAAUGCAAUAAUUUAAAUUAAUAGAUGAAUUAAACAGAUUAGGCACUGUUGAAGAGAUCAUUUAACUGGGAGACAGAUUUUAGGAUAUUACCCAACAAAUGGCACAUAGAGUUAGAGGAAAAAGGUAAGAAGCUAGAAUAUGUGGGGAAAAAAUGAGAAGCUCUCAUAAAUAAGUAACUGGAGUUGCAGAAGGAAUAAAUAGGGGGAAACAGGGGAAAGAAAUGUACAACUAGUUUGCUCAACACUUCCAUUUGGAAAUAUAUCCAAAAUGUAACUCCUGAUCUUCCCUCCUCAAACCUGCUUCUUCUCUGGCUUCCCUCAUAUUAGUAGAUGGCAACUUCAUCCUCCCAGUUGCUCAAGUCAAAAACUUGGGUAAUCCCUGAUUCAUCUUUCUCUCUCAACCUGUAUCCAAGCUGUAGGCAAAUCCUGUUGGCUUUCCUUCAGAAUGUUUCCAGAAUCUGACCACUUCUCUCUCUGUCUCUCUCAAAAUAAAUACGUAAAUAAAUAAAAUGUUGGAGAAUUCUACUUCAGAGAAGAUGGAGAAGACAUACUUUUCCCUAUUCCCUACACUAAGUGCAACUAAAGCCCCUGGAUAUUAUAUUGAAAACAAACAUGAGACUUUGAAUGGUAGAGAGAAGUCAGAUCCACUAAGGACAUUGGGACGUGAGAAACAAUACUGUGGAGUAAGCUCCUUAGACUUUUUGCAUCAUACGAAACCGGAUGCUGGAGAAACCAACAACCCACAAACACCAACAGAGGCAAACAGGAAAACCCUGCUUUCUCUAGCCAAAGGACCAAUAAAGGGGCAACUUAGCAAUAUAGAAAACUUAGGCAGUGACCAUUCUACUGCAGCAAACCACAGAAAAGCUAUGGCUCCUCCCCAACCCUCAUAAACAACCCAGAGAAUAGCCUAGACUGGGUUGUGAUGAGAGUCUUCAACCUCCCUCCACCUUCCACCAAGGUGGUAUCAGAGAAAGUCAGGUGUAAGCUGGGACUUCCACUCCCACGUGGCAGUAAUGAGGUGACACCACACCUUCCCGAUCCAGAGCCUUCUCAAAGAGGCAAGCUUAAACAGAAGAUUUAACUAAGGUCCUGAGUUUUACAAAAUAAUACCCAAAAUGUCCAGGCUUAAAUAAAAAAAAAAAAAAAUCACCUGCUGUACUAAGAAAAAAACAGGAAAAUCUCGAAUGAGAAAAGACAACAGAGCUAAUACCAAGAUGACACAGAUGAAAAUCUUCUGACAAGUGUUAUAAAGGAGCCAUAAUAAAAAUGCUUCAAUGGGCAAUUUCAAACCCGCUUCAAAUAACUUAAAAAUAUUAAAAGUCUCAACAAAGCAAUAGAAGAUAUAAUGGAGAACCAAAUGGAAAUUUUAGAACCAAAA